UAGGGAAUCUUCGGCAAUGGGGGGAACCCUGACCGAGCAACGCCGCGUGAGUGAAGAAGGUUUUCGGAUCGUAAAGCUCUGUUGUUAAGGAAGAACGAGUGUGAGAAUGGAAAGUUCAUGCUGUGACGGUACUUAACCAGAAAGGGACGGCUAACUACGUGCCAGCAGCCGCGGUAAUACGUAGGUCCCGAGCGUUGUCCGGCUUUAUUGGGCGUAAAGCGAGCGCAGGCGGUUAGAAAAGUCUGAAGUGAAAGGCAGUGGCUCAACCAUUGUAGGCUUUGGAAACUGUUUAACUUGAGUGCAGAAGGGGAGAGUGGAAUUCCAUGUGUGGCGGUGAAAUGCGUAGAUAUAUGGAGGAACACCGGUGGCGAAAGCGGCUCUCUGGUCUGUAACUGACGCUGAGGCUCGAAAGCGUGGGGAGCGAACAGG
Molecule: ribosomal RNA, 429 nt
Filed under: Bacteroidota bacterium
Lineage: Bacteria; Pseudomonadati; Bacteroidota
Description: Bacteroidetes bacterium partial 16S ribosomal RNA
Rfam family: Bacterial small subunit ribosomal RNA
Source: RNAcentral